RNAcentral lists this ribosomal RNA (900 nucleotides) under uncultured organism. Its description in RNAcentral is "bacterial SSU rRNA". It matches the Rfam family "Bacterial small subunit ribosomal RNA", at positions 35 to 946 of the family's 1533-position model. The record is from RNAcentral.
GCUGGCGGCAUGGAUUAGGCAUGCAAGUCGAGCGCGAAAGUUUCUUCGGAAUACGAGUAGAGCGGCGCAAGGGUGAGUAACGCGUGAGCGAUCUGCCCCCGACUGCGGGAUAGCCCCGGGAAACCGGGAUUAAUACCGCAUGGUGAUGAUCAUUCGAUUGAUCAUCUAAAGGUUGACUCCGGUCGGGGAUGAGCUCGCGUCCCAUUAGCUUGUUGGUAGGGUAACGGCCUACCAAGGCCGAGACGGGUAGCUGGUCUGAGAGGACGGUCAGCCACACUGGGACUGAGACACUGCCCAGACUCCUACGGGAGGCUGCAGUCGAGAAUCUUCCGCAAUGGGCGCAAGCCUGACGGAGCGAUGCCGCGUGAGGGAUGACGGCCUUCGGGUUGUAAACCUCUGUCAGGGGGGACGAAAACAAUGACGGUACCCCCAGAGGAAGCCACGGCUAACUACGUGCCAGCAGCCGCGGUAAUACGUAGGUGGCGAGCGUUAUUCGGAAUUACUGGGCGUAAAGGGUCCGCAGGGGGUCUGUCAAGUCCGGCGUGAAAGCCCGAGGCUCAACUUCGGGUCGGCGUUGGAUACUGACGGACUUGAGUGCACGAUGGGAGAGCAGAAUUCCUGGUGUAGCGGUGGAAUGCGUAGAUNUCAGGAAGAAUACCGGCGGCGAAGGCGGCUCUCUGGCGUGCUACUGACCCUCAGGGACGAAAGUGUGGGUAGCGAACAGGAUUAGAUACCCUGGUAGUCCACACCGUAAACGUUGUGUACUAGAUGCGGGCGGCGCUCCGGUGUUGUCCGUGUCCAAGUUAACGCGAUAAGUACACCGCCUGGGGACUACGGCCGCAAAGGCUAAAACUCAAAGGAAUUGACGGGGGCCCGCACAAAGCGGUGGAGCAUGUGGCU